RNAcentral lists this ribosomal RNA (253 nucleotides) under uncultured bacterium. Its description in RNAcentral is "partial 16S ribosomal RNA". It matches the Rfam family "Bacterial small subunit ribosomal RNA", at positions 524 to 776 of the family's 1533-position model. The record is from RNAcentral.
UACGGGGGGGGCAAGCGUUGUUCGGAAUUACUGGGCGUAAAGGGCUCGUAGGCGGCCAACUAAGUCGGAUGUGAAAUCCCCAGGCUUAACCUGGGAACUGCAUCCGAUACUGGAUGGCUUGAAUUCGGGAGAGGGAUGCAGAAUUCCAGGUGUAGCGGUGAAAUGCGUAGAUAUCUGGAGGAACACCGGUGGCGAAGGCGGCAUUCUGGACCGAUAUUGACGCUGAGGAGCGAAAGCCAGGGGAGCAAACGGG